This 415-nucleotide ribosomal RNA is filed under the name uncultured dinoflagellate. RNAcentral's name for it is "partial 18S rRNA". The record is from RNAcentral. Lineage: Eukaryota; Dinophyceae.
UAAGAACGGCCAUGCACCACCACCCACAGAAUCAAGAAAGAGCUCUCAAUCUGUCAAUCCUUACUAUGUCUGGACCUGGUGAGUUUCCCCGUGUUGAGUCAAAUUAAGCCGCAGGCUCCACUCCUGGUGGUGCCCUUCCGUCAAUUCCUUUAAGUUUCAGUCUUGCGACCAUACUCCCCCUGGAACUCAAAGACUUUGAUUUCUCAAAAAAUGCCGACGGAACCAACAGGCAACCGCCUCCAAUUUCUUGGUGGCAUAGUUUAUGGUUAAGACUAGGACGGUAUCUAAUCGUAUUCGAUCCCCUAACUUUCGUUCUUGAUUAAAGAAGACAGCCUUGGCAAAUGCAUUCGCAUUAGUUUGUCUUUAACAAAUCCAAGAAUUUCACCUCUGACAGUUAAAUACAAAUGCCCCCAAC